AAACCAACAGGGAUUGCCUUAGUAGCGGCGAGUGAAGCGGCAAAAGCUCAAAUUUGAAAUCUGGCACUUUCAGUGUCCGAGUUGUAAUUUGAAGAAGGUAUCUUUGGGUCUGGCUCUUGUCUAUGUUUCUUGGAACAGAACGUCACAGAGGGUGAGAAUCCCGUGCGAUGAGAUGUCCCAGACCUAUGUAAAGUUCCUUCGAAGAGUCGAGUUGUUUGGGAAUGCAGCUCUAAGUGGGUGGUAAAUUCCAUCUAAAGCUAAAUAUUGGCGAGAGACCGAUAGCGAACAAGUACAGUGAUGGAAAGAUGAAAAGAACUUUGAAAAGAGAGUGAAAAAGUACGUGAAAUUGUUGAAAGGGAAGGGCUUGAGAUCAGACUUGGUAUUUUGUAUGUUACUCUCUCGGGGGUGGCCUCUACAGUUUACCGGGCCAGCAUCAGUUUGGGCGGUAGGACAAUUGCAAAGAAAUGUGGCACUGCCUCGGUAGUGUGUUAUAGUCUUUGUCGAUACUGCCAGCCUAGACUGAGGACUGC
RNAcentral lists this ribosomal RNA (530 nucleotides) under Lodderomyces orthopsilosis. RNAcentral's name for it is "eukaryotic LSU rRNA". It matches the Rfam family "Eukaryotic large subunit ribosomal RNA", at positions 62 to 598 of the family's 3401-position model. The record is from RNAcentral. Lineage: Eukaryota; Fungi; Ascomycota; Pichiomycetes; Serinales; Debaryomycetaceae.